UAGAGUUUGAUCCUGGCUCAGAUUGAACGCUGGCGGCAGGCCUAACACAUGCAAGUCGAGCGGUAACAGAAAGUAGCUUGCUACUUUGCUGACGAGCGGCGGACGGGUGAGUAAUGCUUGGGAACAUGCCUUGAGGUGGGGGACAACAGUUGGAAACGACUGCUAAUACCGCAUAAUGUCUACGGACCAAAGGGGGCUUCGGCUCUCGCCUUUAGAUUGGCCCAAGUGGGAUUAGCUAGUUGGUGAGGUAAUGGCUCACCAAGGCGACGAUCCCUAGCUGGUUUGAGAGGAUGAUCAGCCACACUGGGACUGAGACACGGCCCAGACUCCUACGGGAGGCAGCAGUGGGGAAUAUUGCACAAUGGGCGCAAGCCUGAUGCAGCCAUGCCGCGUGUGUGAAGAAGGCCUUCGGGUUGUAAAGCACUUUCAGUCAGGAGGAAAGGUUAGUAGUUAAUACCUGCUAGCUGUGACGUUACUGACAGAAGAAGCACCGGCUAACUCCGUGCCAGCAGCCGCGG
RNAcentral lists this ribosomal RNA (518 nucleotides) under bacterium 4746K2-B1. RNAcentral describes it as "bacterial SSU rRNA". It matches the Rfam family "Bacterial small subunit ribosomal RNA", at positions 1 to 520 of the family's 1533-position model. The record is from RNAcentral.